UCGUCGUGGGUUGAUAAAAACUUGCACAAUUUUGAAGAGUUCAACUCACCAGGAACCACAACAUCACAAACAUGAAAAGAAAUAACUUUGAUUAUAUUUUGACAAUUUGACUGGAAUUAUGAAAUGGAAAUCAAUCAAUUCCAUUUGAUUCAAGUCACAACUGAGAAAUGAAAACUGAAGGGAGCACCGGAUUUUGGAACACAGGAAAAUAUUACCAUUACAAAAUCCUCGCAGGAAGAAACACAAGUCUUUCUUUGAGAUGGAGUAUAAUUUAUUUAAGAUAAUUCCAUCCAUCCUCAUUCAUGAGUUUGCGGACUUCAACUCACAUUCUAAAGAUGCGGAUGAAAAGGACAUAAAAAUGUAAGAUGUCAUCAUCAACCAGUCAAUGCAGCAUUGAGCGCACUGUGAACAUCCACUCCGAUCUGAGCUUCCGCCUUCUCUAGGUCAGUCGAGGCUGAUCCAAGCUUGGCAGUGAAUUCAGCAAGACCUUUCUGGACCAAGCUUUGGUCAAUCUGAUCAAGGGGG
This 525-nucleotide long non-coding RNA is filed under the name Triticum aestivum (bread wheat). Its description in RNAcentral is "long non-coding RNA (TAES_LNC022315)". The record is from RNAcentral. Lineage: Eukaryota; Viridiplantae; Streptophyta; Magnoliopsida; Poales; Poaceae.